RNA transcript from Propithecus coquereli (Coquerel's sifaka), 453 nucleotides. It is a transcript of the gene named EKC/KEOPS complex subunit TPRKB-like, with no coding region annotated. Lineage: Eukaryota; Metazoa; Chordata; Mammalia; Primates; Indriidae. The record is from RefSeq and is a predicted model, not a curated record. The transcript has 3 exons.
CCUGCUUCUCUCUGAAAUGCAGUUAACACAUCAGCUGGACCUAUUUCCCGAAUGCAGGGUGACCCUCCUGUUAUUUGAAGAUGUAAAACAUGCAGGAGACUUGAGGGAAAAGGCCGUGGAAGGCACCAUCGAUGGCUCAUUGAUAAAUCCAGCAGUGAUUGUUGAUCCAUUUCAGAUACUUGUGGCAGCAAACAAAGCAGUUCAGCUCAUAAACUGGGAAAAAUGAAGACAAGAACUCUAUCUACUGAAAUUAUUUUCAACCUUUCCCAAAUAACAAUAUUUCUGAGGCUUUGAAAAAAUUUGGUAUCUCAGCCAAUGACACCUCAGUUCUAAUUGUUUACAUUGAAGAGGGAGAAAAACAAAUAAAUCAAGAAUACCUAAUAUCUCAAGUGGAAGGUCAUCAGGUUUCUCUGAGAAAUCUCCCUGAAAUAUAACAAAUAUUAUAGAAGUCAA